GUAACGCCUGCCCAGUGAGUCUCACUUAAACGGCCGCGACUAAACGUGCAAAGGUAGCGCAAUCACUUGUUCCAUAAAUAGGGACCCGUAUGAACGGCCACAUGAGAAAGAAGCUGUCUCUUGAAGAUAGCCAAUGAAACUGAUCUGCUUGUUCAAAAGCAAGCAUAAUCAAGCUAGACAAAAAGACCCUGCGAAACUUAAAGCUAAGCAUUAAACAAACUAAUGCCUAACUUUUAGUUGGGGCAACUAUGAUACACUAAACAUCCUUAAACAUUCUAAACCAACAAGUUAAAAUUACUCAAACAAAAGAUCCGGCACUGCCGACCAACGAACCAAGCUACUCCAGGGAUAACAGCGCCAAAUUCUUUGAGAGUCCACAUCAACAAGAAUUCUUACGACCUCGAUGUUGGAUCAGGGUAUCCAAACAGCGCAGAAGCUGUUAACGGCUCGUUUGUUCAACGACUAACUAAGAUAGUUUAAUAAAACAUUAGGCCGUGAUCCUAACAAUAGAACUCCUGUUCUUCCUAGCCAAGAAGCCCACGUUAGAACUGCUAACUCCAACACCUGAUAUUAACACCUCAGACUUCUUACUUU
RNAcentral lists this ribosomal RNA (594 nucleotides) under Acanthocercus atricollis. RNAcentral describes it as "partial 16S ribosomal RNA". It matches the Rfam family "Bacterial large subunit ribosomal RNA", at positions 1852 to 2639 of the family's 2925-position model. The record is from RNAcentral. Lineage: Eukaryota; Metazoa; Chordata; Lepidosauria; Squamata; Agamidae.